GUCGAGAAUAAUUCACAAUGGGGGAAACCCUGAUGGUGCAACGCCGCGUGGAGGAUGAAGGUCUUCGGAUUGUAAACUCCUGUCAUCUGGGAGUAAGACCUGACGGUGAAUAGCCGGCAGGGUUGAUAGUACCAGAAGAGGAAGGGACGGCUAACUUCGUGCCAGCAGCCGCGGUAAUACGAAGGUUCCAAGCGUUGUUCGGAAUCACUGGGCGUAAAGGGAGCGUAGGCGGCGUGGUAAGUCAGAUGUGAAAUCCCGGGGCUCAACCCCGGAACUGCAUCCGAUACUGCCAUGCUUGAGGGUUGGAGAGGUAGCUGGAAUUCUCGGUGUAGCAGUGAAAUGCGUGGAUAUCGAGAGGAACACUCGUGGCGAAGGCGAGCUACUGGACAACAUCUGACGCUGAGGCUCGAAGGCCAGGGGAGCAAAAGGGAUUAGAAACCCCGGUAGUCC
RNAcentral lists this ribosomal RNA (450 nucleotides) under uncultured bacterium. RNAcentral's name for it is "partial 16S ribosomal RNA". It matches the Rfam family "Bacterial small subunit ribosomal RNA", at positions 354 to 796 of the family's 1533-position model. The record is from RNAcentral.